Molecule: long non-coding RNA, 3824 nt
Filed under: Homo sapiens (human)
Lineage: Eukaryota; Metazoa; Chordata; Mammalia; Primates; Hominidae
Description: HSALNT0295586
Source: RNAcentral
UUUCUUUCUGGAAAUUUUAAAAUUAGGAAUCCAAUUAUUUUCAUAGUUACAGAGCUACUCAGAUGACCUGUUUUGCUUUAGGUAAGUUGUGGUAGUUGAUACUUACGACACAUUUGUCCAAUUCAUCUGGGUUGUCAAAUAUAUGUGUGUACAGAAUUUUAAAUAGUUUUUCCCUUAUUAUUAUCCCUUUGAUAUCUGCAGUCUGUAAUGAGUGUAGUCCCUGUUUCAUCCUGAUGUUCAUAAGCUGACUUCUUUUUUUCUUUGUCAAGUUUAUUGAUCUUUUCAAAGAGACAGCUUUAUUUUCACUAGUUUCCCCUUUUGUUUUUUUCUGUUUUCAAUGCCAUUGAUUUCUGCUAUUAUCUGUAUUAUUUCCUUCCAUUUGCUUUAGGUUUUUUUUUUUUUUUUUGUAGAAUCAGUCUCAUUCCCAUGGUGCAGGCCGGAGUGCAGUGGUGCGAUCUCAGCUCACUGCAACCUCCACCUCCCGGGUUCAAGCGAUUCUCCUUCCUCAGCCUCCAGAAUAGCUGGGAUUACAGGUGGCUGCUACCAUGCCCAGCUAAUUUUUUUGUAUUUUUGGUAGAGACGGGGUUUUGCCUUGUUGGCCAGGCUCGUUUCAAACUCCUCACCUCAGGUGAUCCACCCACCUUGGCCUCCCAAAGUGCUCGUAUUACCGGCGUGAGCCACCGUGCCUGGCCUGCUUUAGGUUUCUUUUACCUGCUUUUUUCUUGUUUCUUGAGGGGGGAGCUUAAGUGUAUUCAUUUGAGACAUCCCCUCUUUUCUUUUAUCCCUUUUAAAAACUUUUGUAUAUAAUUAUUAUUGUAGGAAGUUAGGCUUGGGCCCGCAAACUAUGGAAGAACAGAAUAUACUAGGCCACUGCUUUAAUAGCUGGUGCCUGCUUGUUGCCCACCCCCACUCCCCCACCUUAGCUGCCUUGUCCAAACCAAAGAGUUUAGUCUAGAAUGGACAUUUACUAGCCUGCAAAAUAGUUCGCUACAUCUAUUCUUAUCAGCUUGCCUGACUGCCCAGGUCAUAAGUCUAAUACUUGAAAAGCCCCCGAGCUGACCAUGAUUGCAAUGCAUUAUGGGCUGCAACAAAAUACAGGGAGACAACCCUAAAAAAAAAAACAACAACCUAAAAGUCCCAACCCAAGAUCCAAUAGGCGACAUCCGGGAAUACUGUGACCCCAUAGUACUCAGCCUAUGAGGAACCGGGGGAGGCACUUCCACACUAGGGGAUAAAUUGCUUGUUGUAAGCCUACUGGGUGUGCCUGCCUACCAGACACCCGAUCUUGCAAGACUGUCAUUAAUAAUAAGUCGCACUUCUGCUGUUUUCCGGGUCUUGGAGUCCAUUCUUUGGGUUUGGACGGGUGAGUUUAUUUCUCACGAUUAUUUCCAGGCAGGCCUUGCCCAGUGGGUGGCUCAUGCUUGUAAUCCCAGCACUUUGAGAGGGUAAGCCUGGUGGAUCACCUGAGGUCACGAGUUCGAGACCAGCCUGGCUAACAUGGUGAAGCCCCGUCUCUACUAAAAAUACAAAAAUUAGCCGAGCGUGGUGGCGAGGGCCUGUGGUCCCAGCUACUCGGGAGGCUGAGACAGGAGAAUCACUUGAACCCAAGAGGCGGAGGUUGCAGUGAGCCGAGAUGGCAUCACUGCAUGCGACAGUGCAAGACUCCGUUUCAAAUAAUAAUAAUAAUAAUAAUAAUAACAAUAAUAAUAAUGGCACUACCUAAAGUUAUGCAAGCAUUUGCCUUAGAUAAAAUUUCAAGUUUUCAAAGCUGUUAGCUGGGUGGACGGCAUGGCUUUACUUCCUAUUUCUUGGUAUUUCCUAAUCUUGUUGAAAAAGUUUUUCUUUUUCUCAAAGGCUUAUUUCAGUGGAAGCCCAUCUGCAAAAUCUGUUAUUAAUUUAAAUUAGAAAAUCACUACAAGUCCCACUGACAUGUGGGUUAUUGUUUUUGCGAGUGACCUAAGGCCACCUCUCGGGGGAGCUGGGGGUUGCCUUCCCACGUCUGCGCGUCUGCACCCCAUGCCCGGGCCUGGAAGUCAGACUCGGGGGCGGUGCUGCAGCACCAGGCCUGCAGUCCUAAGCGCGGGGUCGCUCCGGGCCCCCGAGGGGGUGUGUCUUCUGCCCCUUUAACCUGGCAGGGGCAGUUCAAGUGGCCCGGGAAAUCAGCGAUUUGUAGGGUCAAGGGCUGGUGCUUUAAAAGAGAGGCGGAGGGGAGAGAGGGAUUUCCCGGUCUCUGCUGCACUCUGUCUAUCCGCUCGGUUACUCCUUUUCCUGGCCCGCGCGAACCCGCUGUGCCGCAGAGGCGGCCAUGUACCUUUAAGGCCCCGCUGCGCCUGCGCCUUGGGCUCUCCUGACGCGCCGAGCGGGACCCUGAGGAUCCAGCUGGCCGCAGGCUAUGGGCUGGGCGGCGGUUGAGACAGCGGCGAUAUUGGGAGGGGUAGGUGAGCGUCGCGAGGCAGCGUGAGCUUCUGAGUGAACGCGGUGCUUUUGGGAACGCGGGACGGGCGACCUGUGGCGCCAGGAGCGGGCCGAGGCGCGGCGGCGCGGCUGCCGUCUGGAUGGGAAGUUACGGUUUACAGCGAAGUCCACCCAGCGUUUCCGAGGUGAAGGCGCCGCGCCAGGCCGGGCGGGCGGUGAGUCCGGGACCCGCGGGUACACAGCUGGGUCGAGCUGCGGCUGUCGCAAGCUUUGUUGCGAGCGACGGAGGGCGAGGCGGGGUGGGGGGUUGGGAGGGCGUGUGUUCCGGCCCCGCCGGGGCUUAAGUUCCAUGCGUUCGAUUCCUCGCUUGCCGCUGCCGCCCGCAGCCCUCAUCUCUUGGGCGCUGGGGAAGAAACUCGCUGGCGGGUGUUCUGUGGCAUCCCAGGGGGUGGAGGGACGAGCAGCUUCGGGGGCACGUCCUCGUGUAUCCUGUGGAGGACCCUGACCCCGCACCCCACCCUCGAGGCCAGAAAUCGGUUGCCUCUGGGGACCUGAGAAGCGAGACCACUCGCGCCCCUGACUUGCAAAGUUGGGGUCUUUAUUGGCCUCCGGGAUUCUGCUCCUGGCGGUUUCUCCAGGCUGGUGAUGGGCAAGCCGGGUGUACCAAGUCCAGGAUGCACAUGAGGAGCGUUUGUAGCCGUCACUGAAUCACCUCAUGACUAGCGGGGCAGGCCUCUAAUUCACCGCAGGAUUUCCGAUCUCACUCUGUUGCCCAGGCUGGAGUGCAGUGGCACAAUCACAGCUGACCACAACCUUGACCUCCCAAGGCUCAGGUGAUCCUCCUGCCUCAGCCCCCAAGUAGCUGGGACCUACAGGCAAUCUGAAAGCAAAUCCUGUUUAGAUGCAGGCGAAGGUUCCUGGUGACCCAGGCUCUCACCUUACCGUCCCUUACCGUCCUCCUGAGGGUGUCCUGGAGCUUCAGUGCUGUGUGUUCUUGGCCUCCAUGCUGGGGGUGCCACCAAUUCCCACUGUCCAGGGCUUCCAGUGGACUCUCCGAGGUACUGAUGUAGAAACUUCCCCAUUCGGUGCACCAAGAGCAACCUCACACGGUGUGGGCCAAAUGAAGAGCUGCCAGAUCCCACAGGUGGCAAGGGCUCUGGAACAGCCACAUAAAGGCUGAUGACUUCAGGGACAUGAGCAUGGGAUACCUGUCAUCACCACCACCAUAAAGUUGGGAUUCAGGAAGGAGGUUAAUCAUAUAAAGAAUCCUGUGACCAGUAUGAGCUUCUCUCAGGCCACACAGGGCACUCAAGUGAACAGGGCAUGGGGGCCCUGGGGUCAUGGUAAGAAAGUGUCUCAUUGGUAAAACCUUUUCCUCUGGGGAGGUAAAUAAAUGAUUUGUUUCUUCU